UGCUUUUCCUUUGCUCAGGUGUGCUC
RNAcentral lists this non-coding RNA (26 nucleotides) under Homo sapiens (human). The record is from RNAcentral. Lineage: Eukaryota; Metazoa; Chordata; Mammalia; Primates; Hominidae.